This 234-nucleotide ribosomal RNA is filed under the name uncultured bacterium. RNAcentral describes it as "partial 16S ribosomal RNA". It matches the Rfam family "Bacterial small subunit ribosomal RNA", at positions 122 to 354 of the family's 1533-position model. The record is from RNAcentral.
UAACCUGCCUUGGAGUGGGGAAGUAACAGCUGGAAACAGCUGCUAAUACCGCAUGAUGCAGUUGAGUCGCAUGGCUCUGACUGCCAAAGAUUUAUCGCUCUGAGAUGGACUCGCGUCUGAUUAGCUGGUUGGCGGGGUAACGGCCCACCAAGGCGACGAUCAGUAGCCGGACUGAGAGGUUGGCCGGCCACAUUGGGACUGAGACACGGCCCAGACUCCUACGGAAGGCAGCAG